CAGUUUUCGAGAAACACUUGGCAUAUUUGAAUCUCUUCAGACUUUGUUCAUGGCUUCAAAGCAACCUUUCAAAGUGCUAUUUGUUCUUGGGGUGGUGGCGGUGAUGCUUGCCACCAUUUGCAGAGGCUCUGGUGUGGACCAUACGUCUUCCAGUGAUGAGGGGUUUAAGGUGAAAACAAGGCAACCGCAGGACGAGGCCGCAGAGAAGGAAAGAGAGGGCAGAGAAAGCUCAGACUCAGAGUCAUGGGCAGAGUGGGCCAAGGAGAAAAUCUCUGGAGGACUUGGAUUGAAGCAGGAUGAUGAUGACGAAAAUAAUAAGAAAGCUUCUGAUGCUG
RNAcentral lists this long non-coding RNA (335 nucleotides) under Prunus persica (peach). RNAcentral's name for it is "long non-coding RNA (PPER_LNC000339)". Lineage: Eukaryota; Viridiplantae; Streptophyta; Magnoliopsida; Rosales; Rosaceae. The record is from RNAcentral.